RNAcentral lists this ribosomal RNA (1707 nucleotides) under Candidatus Nomurabacteria bacterium RBG_16_40_11. RNAcentral's name for it is "bacterial SSU rRNA". It matches the Rfam family "Bacterial small subunit ribosomal RNA", at positions 318 to 1390 of the family's 1533-position model. Lineage: Bacteria; Candidatus Nomuraibacteriota. The record is from RNAcentral.
ACUGAGACACGGACCAUACACCUACGGGUGGCUGCAGUCGAGAAUCUUCCACAAUGGACGAAAGUCUGAUGGAGCGACGCCGCGUGAUUGAUGAAGUCCCUCUGGGACGUAAAGAUCUUUUAUGAGGGAAGAAGUUUAUUGACGGUACCUCAUGAAUAAGAGGCUCCCAAUCUCGUGCCAGCAGGAGCGGUAAUACGAGAGCCUCGAGCGUUAUCCGGAAUUAUUGGGCGUAAAGGGUGCGUAGGUUGUUCUGUUAGUCUUUUGUCAAAUUCCCGAGCUUAACUUGGGACCCGCAAAAGAAACGGCAGGACUUGAAAGUGUGAGAGGCGUACGGAACUCAUGGUGUAGGGGUGAAAUCCGUUGAUAUCAUGGGGAACACCAAAUGCGAAGGCAGUACGCUGGCGCAUAUUUGACACUGAAGCACGAAAGCGUGGGUAGCGAAUGGGAUCAAUCUGGUCCCUUCCGAUAGUGAUAUCGGAAUGAGAAUUUGGCUAUAUGCUGGAAUAUCUGUGUAUCUUCUACUACACAAUCUGCAAAGAUUGUGUGAUAAUGUAUGAAGUGCAGACAAUCAGCAGGGAAGGCUUGCAAAAUUGAAAGAGGGAAAAUUUCCGUCGUCCAAGAACCCGAAAGAGGGUAGGACCCUACAGAGGUGCUAGAGGUGUGUUAUGACCCCUUGCGGGUAUCGGCAUUACCUGCCAGUGGGAUAAUUGCCACUGGUAAUCACCAUGUACAAUGUGGAGUAAGUUGGGGUAUGGAUUUGACUCGAGUUAACCCCAAAUGAGUCUCCACCGGAUUUAUCUUUGACGAAGCGAAAGUUUCGUCGUCGGGUAAAGAAGUUGAAAAACUAUCUUUACCCUCUCUUUCAAUUUUGUAAGAACCCUCAGAGACUACACGCCAAAUAUCUUAAAAUAAUUUUUUAAGAUAAUGAUAUAGUCCGACCUUUAUGGCGACAUAAAGAUCUAUUGUAAUACUGGGUACAAAUAGUCUUCGAAAGAAGUAACAAGUAUGUAGAUACCCCAGUAGUCCACGCCCUAAACGAUGAUCUCUCGGUUUUCGGAGUAUCGACCCUCUGAGAGCCUUAGCUAACGCGUUAAGAGAUCCGCCUGGGAAGUACGGCCGCAAGGCUAAAACUCAAAGGAAUAGACGGGGACUUGCACAAGCAGUGGAUUAUGUGGUUUAAUUCGAUGGUAAACGAAGAACCUUACCAGGGUUAGAAAUCCUAGUGAAAAUCCUCGGAAACGAGGACCCUCGCAAGACUCUAGGACAGGUGAUGCAUGGCCGUCGUCAGUUCGUGGUUUGAAUUGUACCCUUAAGUGGGCUAACGAACGCAACCCUCGUUGUGUGUUACAAGUGUCACACGAGACCGCCCGUCCCAGUGCCGAGGUUGACUUGUUUGGAACGCGUCCCAGUACCGAUAUUGAAUUUCAAUUUCGGCAAUGGGAUUUGCUUUUAGACGCGUCAACGUCGGUAGCGGGACGGGAGGAAGGAGAGGAUGACGCCAGGUCAGCAUGUCCCUUUGAUAUCCUGGGCUACACACAUAAUACAAUGGCGACUACAACGCGUAGCGACGGGGCGACCCUGAGCUAAUCGUCCAAAAGUGGCCUCGGUUCGGAUUGAAGUCUGCAACUCGACUUCAUGAAGCUGGAAUUGCUAGUAAUCGCAGGUCAGCUAAACUGCGGUGAAUACGUUCUCAAGUCUUGUACUCAC